AUCGUUAUUAUCGAUGGCGUGACGCAGGAGGAUAGUGUGUGCUAGCUAUUGGAUGCUAGUCUAAGCGUUUAGGCAGUGAGAGUAGGCAAAUCCGCUCUCAUAAUACUGAGGCGUGAUGGGGAAGGUUCUACGGAACCGAAGUACAUGAUUCCACGCUGCCAAGAAAAGCGUCUAGAGAGAGAAGUAGUGCCCGUACCGCAAACCGACACAGGUAGGUGAGGAGAGAAUCCUAAGGCCGGCGGAAGAAUUACAGUUAAGGAACUCGGCAAAUUGACCCCGUAAGUUCGCGAGAAGGGGUGCCUACGAGAGUAGGCCGCAGAGAAUAGGCCCAAGCAACUGUUUAGCAAAAACACAGGUCUCUGCUAAAGCGUAAGCUGAUGUAUAGGGGCUGACGCCUGCCCGGUGCUGGAAGGUUAAGGGGAACACUUAGCGCAAGCGAAGGUGUGAACUUAAGCCCCAGUAAACGGCGGCCGUAACUAUAACGGUCCUAAGGUAGCGAAAUUCCUUGUCAGGUAAGUUCUGACCCGCACGAAUGGCGUAAUGACUUGGGCACUGUCUCAACUGUAAAUCCGGCGAAGUUGUAGUGCGAGUGAAGAUGCUCGCUACCCGCGAUUGGACGGAAAGACCCCGUAGAGCUUUACUGUAGCUUAGCAUUGAGUUUUGGUAUUGUCUGUACAGGAUAGGUGGGAGACUAGGAAACCAGGGCGUCAGCCUUGGUGGAGUCAACCUUGGGAUACCACCCUGACAGUACUGAAAUUCUAACUGGCGGCCAUGAAUCUGGUCACAGGACAUUGUUAGGUGGGCAGUUUGACUGGGGCGGUCGCCUCCUAAAAAGUAACGGAGGCGCCCAAAGGUUCCCUCAGAACGGUCGGAAAUCGUUCGAAGAGUGCAAAGGCAGAAGGGAGCCUGACUGCGACACCCACAAGUGGAGCAGGGACGAAAGUCGGGCUUAGUGAUCCGGUGGUACCUCGUGGGAGGGCCAUCGCUCAACGGAUAAAAGCUACCUCGGGGAUAACAGGCUGAUCUCCCCCAAGAGUCCACAUCGACGGGGAGGUUUGGCACCUCGAUGUCGGCUCGUCGCAUCCUGGGGCUGAAGUAGGUCCCAAGGGUUGGGCUGUUCGCCCAUUAAAGCGGCACGCGAGCUGGGUUCAGAACGUCGUGAGACAGUUCGGUCCCUAUCCGUCGCGGGCGUAGGAAAUUUGAGAGGAGCUGUCCUUAGUACGAGAGGACCGGGAUGGACUGACCUCUGGUGUACCAGUUGUUCCGCCAGGAGCACAGCUGGGUAGCUAAGUCGGGAAUGGAUAAACGCUGAAAGCAUCUAAGCGUGAAGCCAACCUCAAGAUGAGAUUUCCCAUAGCGUAAGCUAGUAAGAUCCCUUGAAGAACACAAGGUUGAUAGGUCGGGGGUGUAAGCAUGGUAACAUGUUCAGCUGACCGAUACUAAUAGAUCGAGGGC
This 1455-nucleotide ribosomal RNA is filed under the name Clostridium perfringens. RNAcentral's name for it is "partial 23S ribosomal RNA". It matches the Rfam family "Bacterial large subunit ribosomal RNA", at positions 1451 to 2912 of the family's 2925-position model. The record is from RNAcentral. Lineage: Bacteria; Bacillati; Bacillota; Clostridia; Eubacteriales; Clostridiaceae.